UGAACACGUAUUAGGAGGAAGUGGAGCAAUCAAGAUUGCCGCUUUGAUUAUAUUUGCACUUCUUGGCUUUCCUCUAGCUAUUACCUAUAGUGUUCCAUUUUCUGUUACAGCAGAGUUGACUGCCGAUUCUGGUGGUGGCCAAGGAUUGGCAAUUGGAGUUCUGAACCUUGCAAUUGUUCUUCCACGGGUAUGGAAUUUGAUAAGU
This is a long non-coding RNA of Hibiscus syriacus, 205 nucleotides long. RefSeq lists it as uncharacterized. The transcript has 3 exons. The record is from RefSeq and is a predicted model, not a curated record. NCBI's taxonomy places the organism in Eukaryota, Viridiplantae, Streptophyta, Magnoliopsida, Malvales, Malvaceae.